GGGACAAUUAAAUUUUAUUUAAACCAUUUUACUUUUUUUUAUAAAACAUUUCGAUCUAAAAAAUAAAAAAUUCUGAAAAGAUAUGAAAUGUUGAACUACAACUGUUUGGAUAUGAUUUCCAUUGAUCUCAUCCAUUAAAUUUUUUAUCUAAUCAUUUUACUACCAUCUUCAUCAUCUUAUCUAGAUCUUCAUCAUCUUAUCCAACUAUAAUCAAUUAAAUUGGAUUUUCAUGUUCAAUCUAGGACAUCCAAGAUUAUCUAUAACAAUCAUAUACAACAUUAUAUAGCAUGUGUGGUGAUUGUGUAAGAAUUGGGGAGUAGCAUUAUAUAAAAAAAUCAGUUUCUUAUAUAAUGCUACUUCCCAACCCUUACACAAUCACCACACAUUCUAUAUACAAUCUAGUUACAUAUUUAUAUAAAAAAAAUGGCUCAACAAGUAAGCGAUAACUCCUCUUCCGACGACGACAACCAAGGCCACGCUAUAAUAACGACGAUGUACGGAGAAUACCAAUCUUUCAUGUUGGCUUCAUAGGGGAAGUGCAAAACACAACAUAGAGUAACAUCAUCAUGUUGGCUUUUGUUUAAAGUAAUAGUCAAAAUGCAUGAUAUCAUUCAUAAUUCGUAAAAAUAAUUCACGCCUCAUAUGAUUUCUAUUUCGAAAAUCACGAGGAGCAUAUAAAAGACGAUCAACAAAGUAUCAUUCAUAAGUAAGUCGUGCGCACCUAUUUGGUCCCAUCUUACUGAAUUCCGGCGUGAUGAUGUUCCUCCAUGUUGUGUUUUGCACUUCCCCUGUGAAGCGAACAUGUUAUUGGUAUUCUACGUACAUCGUCGUCAUGAUGGCGUGGCCUUGAUUGCCGUCGUCGUAAGAGGAGUUAUCGCUUUCUUGUUGUGCUAAUUUUAUUUAUUUUUCGAUAAAUAUGUAACUAGAUUGUAUAUAAA
Molecule: long non-coding RNA, 938 nt
Filed under: Erythranthe guttata (spotted monkey flower)
Lineage: Eukaryota; Viridiplantae; Streptophyta; Magnoliopsida; Lamiales; Phrymaceae
Description: long non-coding RNA (EGUT_LNC003036)
Source: RNAcentral